RNAcentral lists this transfer RNA (81 nucleotides) under Medicago truncatula (barrel medic). Its description in RNAcentral is "tRNA-OTHER". The record is from RNAcentral. Lineage: Eukaryota; Viridiplantae; Streptophyta; Magnoliopsida; Fabales; Fabaceae.
GAUCAAGUAGUUUAGUGGUUAGAAUUCACCAUUUUUAAGGUGAAUAAGUGAGGUAUCGGAGUUCGAACCCCGGCUCCUGCA